This 490-nucleotide ribosomal RNA is filed under the name uncultured bacterium. RNAcentral's name for it is "partial 16S ribosomal RNA". It matches the Rfam family "Bacterial small subunit ribosomal RNA", at positions 29 to 523 of the family's 1533-position model. The record is from RNAcentral.
AAUGAACGUUGGCGGCAUGGAUUAGGCAUGCAAGUCGAGCGAGAAGAGUUUUGAAGCUUGCUUUAGAACUCGGACAGCGGCGAAAGGGAGAGUAACGCGUAGUUAUGUGCCCUAGGGUCCGGAAUAGCCACGGGAAACUGUGGGUAAUGCCGGAUAAUAUCCCCGGAUCAAAGGUGUGAUUCCGCCCUAGGAGCAGACUGCGUCCUACUAGCUAGUUGGUGGGGUAAUGGCCUACCAAGGCAACGAUGGGUAGCGGGUGUGAGAGCAUGACCCGUCUCACUGGGACUGGGACACUGCCCAGACACCUACGGGUGGCUGCAGUCGAGAAUCUUCGGCAAUGGGCGAAAGCCUGACCGAGCGAUGCCGCGUGCGGGAUGAAGGCCCUCGGGUUGUAAACCGCUGUCGUAGGGGAGGAAGGUUCCGUGAAGAGCGGAAUUUGACCUAUCCCAGGAGGAAGUACGGGCUAAGUUCGUGCCAGCCGCCGCCGUAA